RNAcentral lists this ribosomal RNA (274 nucleotides) under uncultured bacterium. Its description in RNAcentral is "partial 16S ribosomal RNA". It matches the Rfam family "Bacterial small subunit ribosomal RNA", at positions 523 to 796 of the family's 1533-position model. The record is from RNAcentral.
AUACGUAGGAGGCGAGCGUUGUCCGGAUUUACUGGGCGUAAAGGGCGAGUAGGCGGCUUGAUAAGUCUCAUGUGAAAUCUCCCGGCUUAACUGGGAGGGGUCAUGGGAUACUGUCAAGCUUGAGGGCAGUAGAGGAGAGUGGAAUUCCCGGAGUAGCGGUGAUAUGCGUAGAUACCGGGAGGAACACCCGAGGCGAAGGCGACUCUCUGGGCUGCACCUGACGCUGAGGCGCGAAAGCAUGGGGAGCAAACCGGAUUAGAUACCCCAGUAGUCC